Molecule: long non-coding RNA, 684 nt
Organism: Rattus norvegicus (Norway rat)
Lineage: Eukaryota; Metazoa; Chordata; Mammalia; Rodentia; Muridae
Source: RefSeq, a predicted model, not a curated record
UUGCUUUUGGUCAGGGUGUUUUGUCAGCCUGGGAAACCCCAACUAAGAGAGACCCAUAUCUAUAAGUAACUUUAAAAGUUGUUCAUAUAUAUAUGAUUCUGCACCAAACUAAAAUAUGGGGCGUUGGUUUAGGAAACAUGUAGGAUAAUGUCAUUAUGCAGCAAGGCGGGUCCAGGAUAAGGCAAGCCUAUCACUGGAUGAGGAGGAGCGGUAGGCGGGGAAAAGUCUAGGAAGGAGGGAAGAGAAGGAGCGAGGGAGAUCAAGAUGGAGUCCAUGGAAGAAAAUGGUUCAGAUUUAGUGUGCAUCCGAGGACACCCCAGCACGUUAGAAAACACCCAAACAGGUCAGCCCCACACAGCCAGGGAGAAGGCUGGUUCCUCUUGUUCUGCAUGACUGAGAUCCGUUUGUCUACAUGCCCUCCCUCAUGUCUCCAUGGUAACAAGACCGGCUGGACAUUGGACAUCCCACACUGAUUUCCGGCAUCACUUUGUAGAAGCAGGAUGGACCAUGGGCAUUUUUGCUUGUUCACACAUCUCCUGAAACUGACCCAUUCACUUAUCCAUUAACUUGAGGUUUUGUUGGGUUUAUAUUAAAAUGGUAGGGUUGGGAAAUUCUAAGAGAUCAUGUGGAGUCAAAAGCUGAAAACAUGUGCUAUUUGUCCCAUUAUAAAAAAAAAAACACCAA